RNAcentral lists this long non-coding RNA (743 nucleotides) under Zonotrichia albicollis (white-throated sparrow). RNAcentral's name for it is "lncRNA (ENSZALG00000018161.1)". Lineage: Eukaryota; Metazoa; Chordata; Aves; Passeriformes; Passerellidae. The record is from RNAcentral.
AAACACUUAAAUAAGCCUGAAAUAAUAAGCCUGGCAUAAAAAUAUGUCUGAAACCAGAGAAACAGUUCUUUUUAGGGUGGUUAAACAGACAUUUUCAUAUCAAUGUCCUUUUUCAGUUCAUUCCCUAAUUUUCUGUUUGGUCUUCUGCAGAUCUGAAUUACAAUAAGAUGCCUCUACCUACAUCUUCCAUCAUGGCUGGCUGUCUACUCUCUUCGAAGGAGCAGAUGCUAGUCUGGGCUGAGAUCAUCCGCCAAAAGAUUGCUUUGGCUGUUUUCUAAACCAGUGUGAUGCCUCAGGUGCAGGAGAGAGAGACAAUAAUUAACAAUGUGGCCUACAGCAUCUUGGGGAACAAUUAAUUUUAGUGAAUGGACAAGGGGAAGAAGUGGGAAGGCUAUGACAGCAAGGAGGACUACAGAGUCUUUCAGGACGUAAAGGCUGUCAUUUGUGCAUCCGAGAAAGGACUGUACUGGAAAGGUAGAAGUGUUUUUAAUAAGGAAAUUACAUGCUGGGAAAGAAUGGGAACUCCUCUGGAAUGUGCGGAGUGGAUUAUGUUAAUAUCUGCACAUCAACUUUGCCCUCUUGAUUCACUUCAUGCUGCAUCAAUUAUACUGUAACUUUUCAAACUGCUGUCUCUAAGUAGCAUUGUUAACUAUAGCCAAAGGUUGGGAAAAGAUCAUCCUUUUAAAAUUUGAUUGCUUGCUCACCAGGAAAGCAACAAGAAGGGGAAGAAACGUAUUACUAGG